This is a long non-coding RNA of Podarcis muralis (Common wall lizard), 349 nucleotides long. RefSeq lists it as uncharacterized. NCBI's taxonomy places the organism in Eukaryota, Metazoa, Chordata, Lepidosauria, Squamata, Lacertidae. The record is from RefSeq and is a predicted model, not a curated record.
GUACACGGACAGGAUCACCAGCAAGUUGCCCAGGAUAUCUACCACGAUGGUGAAGAUGAGGAUGGCGGCCAAGGUGGAAGCCACCCAGGGGGGCCUGUCCAAGAAAGCCAGCCAGGUUCAUACACGGAUUUGGAGGCUGCAGGUCGCUGAGGGACCGUUGCCACCUGAAGAUGCGACGGUGCUUAUAGCCUUUUUAACGACUUUUUGUGCACGGGACUGGGAGGGGUGGCGUCGAGAAGACGAAGGAAGGAGAAGUUUGCCUGGCUGCUUUUUUUUGCUUUUUGUGUGUGUGUUUUUAAAUAAUACUUUGGAUAAAUAUCACUUUAAUUAAACACUUUCCGGAUGGGUU